AUUGAACGCUGGCGGCAGGCCUAACACAUGCAAGUCGAGCGGAUGAAGGGAGCUUGCUCCUGGAUUCAGCGGCGGACGGGUGAGUAAUGCCUAGGAAUCUGCCUGGUAGUGGGGGAUAACGUCCGGAAACGGGCGCUAAUACCGCAUACGUCCUGAGGGAGAAAGUGGGGGAUCUUCGGACCUCACGCUAUCAGAUGAGCCUAGGUCGGAUUAGCUAGUUGGUGGGGUAAAGGCCUACCAAGGCGACGAUCCGUAACUGGUCUGAGAGGAUGAUCAGUCACCCUGAACCUGGGACCCGUUCCGAACUCCUAGGGGAGGCAGAGGUGGGGAUUAUUGGCCAUGGGGCGAAGGCCUGUUCCAGCCAGGCCGCGGGUGUGAAGAAGGUCUCCGAUUUGUAAGGCCUUUUAGGUGGGGGGAAAGGCAGGUAGGUUAAUCCCUUCCUGUUUGACGUUACCAACAGAAUAAGCACCGGCUAACUUCGUG
This 483-nucleotide ribosomal RNA is filed under the name uncultured bacterium. RNAcentral describes it as "partial 16S ribosomal RNA". It matches the Rfam family "Bacterial small subunit ribosomal RNA", at positions 30 to 507 of the family's 1533-position model. The record is from RNAcentral.